UUCCGGUUGAUCCUGCCGGAGGCUACCGCUAUUGGAGUUCGAUUAAGCCAUGCGAGUCGCGAGUCUUAGGGACUCGGCGUACCGCUCAGUAACACGUGGGUAACCUGCCCUAUGCUGGGGGAUAACCUCGGGAAACUGAGAAUAAUACCCCAUAGUUCACCACGCCUGGAACGGUGGGUGGACCAAAGCUCCGGCGGCAUAGGAUGGGCCUGCGGCGUAUCAGGUUGUAGGGGGUGUAAUGUACCCUCUAGCCCUCUACGCGUACGGGUGUUGAGAGACAUCGCCCGGAGAUGGAUUCUGAGACACGAAUCCAGACCCUACGGGGUGCAGCAGGCGCGAAAACUUGGCAAUGCGAGAAAUCGUGACCAGGGAACUCCAAGUGCAUCGGGUAAGACCGAUGCUUUUCUUGACUCUUCAAAGGUCUUGGAAUAAGGGGUGGGUAAGGACGGUGCCAGCCGCCGCGGUAAUACCGGCGCCCCAAGUGGUAGUCGCUUUUAUUGGGCCUAAAACGUCCGUAGCCGGUCUGGUACAUUCGUGGGUAAAUCAACCAGCUCAACUGGUUGAAUUCUGCGAGCACGGCCAGACUUGGGACCGGGAGAGGUGUGGGGUACUCUCAGGGUAGGGGUAAAAUCCUGUCAUCCUGAGGGGACCACCUGUUGCGAAGGCGCCACACUAGAACGGAUCCGACGGUCAGGGACGAAGCCUAGGGGCACGAACCGGAUUAGAUACCCGGGUAGUCCUAGGUGUAAACGCUGUGGACUUGAUGUUGGGGGCGCUCCGAGCGCACUCAGUGUCGAAGCGAAGGUGAUAAGUCCACUGCCUGGGGAGUACGGUCGCAAGGCUGAAACUUAAAGGAAUUGGCGGGGGAGCACCGCAACCUGAGGAUUGUGCGGUUUAAUUGGAGUCAACGCCGG
This 914-nucleotide ribosomal RNA is filed under the name uncultured marine archaeon. RNAcentral describes it as "bacterial SSU rRNA". It matches the Rfam family "Archaeal small subunit ribosomal RNA", at positions 1 to 921 of the family's 1478-position model. The record is from RNAcentral.